This 109-nucleotide small nuclear RNA is filed under the name Procavia capensis (Cape rock hyrax). The record is from RNAcentral. Lineage: Eukaryota; Metazoa; Chordata; Mammalia; Hyracoidea; Procaviidae.
GCAUGCUUAUUUUCACAGUGCAUAUAUUAAAACUGAAGAAAUACAGAGAAAACUGACAAUGUCCCUGGGCAAAGAUGAUUUAGAGACUCCUGAGGUGCUUACAGAAACC